GAUGAACGCUGGCGGCGUGCUUAACACAUGCAAGUCGAGCGGAAGGGCCCUGCGUUUGUUGUGUUGUUGAUGGGGGCUCGCGGGUGUGACACGUGUGGAUCCCGCCCCUUACUUACGGGUAACAUCACGGGACUGGGGCUCCUAUCGGAGAGGAGAUCCUGCUGCGUGUUGGUCAUUGGAAAAUUACGGUUGUUGUGGCUGGACUCGCGGCUUAUCAGCUUGUUUGGCGAGUAGGUGCUUACCAGGGCUUUGACGGGUAGCCGGCCUGAGAGGGGGGACGGCCUCAUUGGGACUGAGAGACGGACCAGACGGCUACGGGAGGCAGUAGUGGGGAAUAUUGCGCAAUGGCGGCAAGCCUGAUGCAGCAACGCCGCGUGCGGAAUGACGGCCUUCGGGGGGUAAACCGCUUUCGAAGGGGACGAAGACUGAGUGACGGUACUUGGUAAGGAAGCACCGGCUAACUACGUG
This 468-nucleotide ribosomal RNA is filed under the name uncultured bacterium. Its description in RNAcentral is "partial 16S ribosomal RNA". It matches the Rfam family "Bacterial small subunit ribosomal RNA", at positions 28 to 507 of the family's 1533-position model. The record is from RNAcentral.